Molecule: long non-coding RNA, 540 nt
Filed under: Monodelphis domestica (gray short-tailed opossum)
Lineage: Eukaryota; Metazoa; Chordata; Mammalia; Didelphimorphia; Didelphidae
Description: lncRNA (ENSMODG00000047580.1)
Source: RNAcentral
GAAGGAAAAAUGCUUUGGAGUGCUUCUUUUGCCUCUAGAGAAUUCAGACUCAUAGCUGAGUCAGAGGAGUGGUGAGGAGGCAAGGAGACUGGCGAAGGAGGAGAAGGAGGAGCUGAAGCAGUCACACGUGGUUCUGGAAUUUCAGAGCUUUCAGAACUCUUCAGAACUGACACUUCACACUGGCAGUGAAGGAUGCUUCCCAGUUGUUUGCAGAGAGGUGGUGGGCCAUUGCUGUGGAGAAAGAGUCUAUUGCUGGAGAAUUGAUAAAGUCAUCACAGCACAAUGGGCCUCUGACCCUGAUCUGACAAAAGAGAUUGAAAGUGCCUUGUAGCGAGACAAGGACAAUGUGCAGGAUUCAUCAGGCCAUCAAAGGUGGAGUGGAAGAGAUAUAUUUCUGUAUGUGAAUUUAACUGUCCUCUCUCUCUCUCUCUCUCUCUCUCUCUCUCUCUCUCUCUCUCUCUCUCUCUCAGCUUAGGGCUGCCAAUCAGACAUUCAGGCAUAGUGUGUUUAAUAACUAAAUAAAUGAUGAAAGGGUGGUCA